UACGUAGGGACCAAGCGUUGUUCGGAAUCACUGGGCGUAAAGGGUGCGUAGGUGGCGUGGAGAGUCAGAUGUGAAAGCCCGGGGCUCAACCUCGGAAUUGCAUCCGAUACUACCAUGCUAGAGUACUGAAGAGGUGACUAGAAUUCUCGGUGUAGCAGUGAAAUGCGUAGAUAUCGAGAGGAAUACCAACGGCGAAGGCAGGUCACUGGGCAGUUACUGACACUGAGGCACGAAGGCCAGGGGAGCAAACGGG
This 253-nucleotide ribosomal RNA is filed under the name uncultured bacterium. RNAcentral's name for it is "partial 16S ribosomal RNA". It matches the Rfam family "Bacterial small subunit ribosomal RNA", at positions 524 to 776 of the family's 1533-position model. The record is from RNAcentral.